AAGAUUAUUAUUACACCAAAACUUUCACAUAUCAGAUCAAAACAUAAUUCAUGCAUAAACCUCGCCCGUGCGUUGCACUGGUCCAAAAUACUAGGUAUAAAAUUACACAGUUACAACCGACCUGAUUUGACUGAUAUAGCUGAUAUAAGAGGACCAUAUACCGAUCUAAAUGGUAUACUAGUUGUCCCUUUUCCUGCCCAAUAUAAGCGAAUCUCCAAGGUGUUAUUUGUCACAAUGGCAGGGAAUGACAUUGUGACUGCCUUAUCAACUCCUCCUGCUUCUUUUGCAAUAUUGAAGUCCUUAUGUACUAGUGUUCCCUAUGAAAUUUCAAUUCAAUUAUGUUAAUGCUUCAUGAUGAUUAAUUUAUUGACUACAAGCCUAAAUAUAAAACUCAUGUUGAUUAAAGACAACUAUACUGUAUGAAACUAGUAAAGAUCAGAUGCUUUUGAACAUAACUAAAAGAAACGGUAGGAAACAGAUGUGCAAAAUUCCUAGAGACUUUUCUAGGAAUAGAUAAACAAUAUUAGGUCACAUUUACUGACAAAAUAAGGCGACAUAUAUUAAAACUUACUUUAGAUAAACAAUAGAUGACAUAUUAUGAAUAAGUGUUAACCAUGUACCUGAAUAUAUAUAUCGAAUAUGCGCCUUCCUAGACUGUUAAAUGUUUGAUCAUUAGUAAACAUGAUUUCUGCAAAAUGUAGAUUUACUGUGUAGUUUCCAUUUCCCAAGCAAAAUCCAUAAUAUGUCAAAGAUGUGGGAGAAACUCUUGCUUUCGUGAAUAGUUCAGUAUUGGUCAAAGAAAGUGAUGAUGAUUUACUUGACCAAAUAUUAUAGUCUCCAACAUCAUUAUCCAUGAAGUUACCAGUGGUGCUAAAUGCCCAAUUAUUUCCACUUUGGUAGAACCUAGCUGCACCUGCUGGAUCUAAAUCUUCAUCAUAUGUUGUUCCAUUUACCUGUACCGAAUUUCCACCACAGUUUAUAUGAAGACCAUAUGAAGCUGCAAGAAGGAAAAUUGAGAAGUUAUUCAAAUAUUAACCAAAGAAAGAAAAUUAUGUAAUAAAAAAUAUAUAAAUUCCAUCAAAAUUUAUUUUUCUAUUCUCUUGCUGUCUAACUAUCAGUUUUCUUUGUUAUUGACAAUUCAGAGGAAAGAAGGAAAUCAUGUUAAGUUAUAUACAGGUUUCGGCCCACCAGGCAAGGUUUGGGAGGAUAGAUGUACGAAGUCUUACCUUUCAAGUAGAGAGUCUGUUUUCUAAGAUUUAAACUCGUAAUCUUUAAACUGUAAGGCAUCGACCUUACAGUUGCGUCAAGGCUUAUUAUAAUCAAUAUAUGCUUUAAGAUUGAUGCAACUUGAUAAGCAUGAUGUCAAAGAAGAUAACUAGCCACUUGCAACCAACAAAACUAUAAUUAUGAAUUGUGUGAUAUAUAAUAUCUAUCAUCUUAUGCAUGAUAACUAGCCUUUGAUAUGAAACAUUUCUUUAAAAAUAUUGAAGCAACAAUAGUGAAACCUUAGUAGUCAAUAGAAAAUUCACUGCAAAGAUACUUACUUUUAGGACAGGUCAUAAAGGCUGUCGAACAUGGAACGAUUCCUCUGAGAAAAUGACAGAGGACACAAUAAGUUAGCAUAAUCUCUAAUAAUCAAUGCAAGACUCCUCACAUUUUAAGUUAAAAUGAAAACUUACGAGUUGUUGCGGCUCGAAGAACUAGAAAACAAGUUCCUAUCAUAUAUAAGAGAUGGUUGUGAAUCAAUUAAGUUCUUAAUUUCUAAACAAAUACACAUAAAGCUAAAGAUUCUUACACUUUUCUAUCUUGACAUGUCGGAUUCCCUUGGCUUAUACUGAAGUUAUUGUAUGAAAGAUCUCUAUAUACAAUACAAGUGAUAAAGUUUUGAUUCAGAAUCUUAUAACACUUAGGAACUCCAAAGAAACAUAUCAACUAAAGCAAAAUUUCUCACAUAAUUAUAAGAAAGUUUAAACAGAGAGAAACAAAGUACACUAGAAAAAGAUGAAAAAAGGUAUUGUUACUGCACAAAUUAAAUUUAUUGUUCAAUUCAAGAAAUCAUAUAAGUAGCAUUUCAAAGAGAACUCACAGGUUGUCAGCUUUCUCAGACCAUGAAGGAACUGGUCCAGUGAGACGGUUUCCAGUAAAAUAUCUACAUUGAAGUAAUAUUAUAAAUUAAUGUAUAAAACUUCAUGUUCAUUAAGGACUUAACAAUUGUGGGACAUGAGCUAGUCACACUCAUUUAACUUUCCUUGAAGUAAAUGUGGUAAUGUAAAUCCCUAAAUCCUAUGUGUGAAUUUGAGUAUAAAGAGUUAAACAAAUAUGUGAUUAGAAAUUUAACCCUAAUUAUGAACUGCUACGAAUGUACAUUGAUGAAAUUCUUACAUGAAAUCCACUUUUCUUAGGGCAUCAUAGUUACUUGGAAUUGGUCCACUCAAUUUGUUAAAGCUGAGAUCUCUGAAAGAAAAAAACAUAUCAAGAAUGAGUUUAGAAACCACAUAAGGAAAUGACUAAGGUAAAAGUUCCUGCAUCACAAUUGGCUUGAAUAUAAACAAAUUAUAUCCAUGAAAGUGUUAAGUAACCAACUCUGACAAUGACUGAUGACACUGAUUGGAAGUAGAAGUUCACACCACUUUUUAUUCUUGAGACAGUAAUCUAAUUGGUGUAGAUUCGAUGAGUUUAGUUUUGAGAGAUAUCUAUUCUUUUUCUCCUAUUUUUAUCCAAGAGAUAUUAAUCAAGUCACUUUCUCAACCCUAAGAACGAGAGACCAUGAACUUCUACUUUUAUGAAACAUCGCCUAUUGUCGUUAGUUAUGAGUAGUUUUUAAAGGCCAUCAAAGUGGUGCAUUUUAGAAUUUGCAAAAAAACUAAAGGCUACAAAAUAAUAUAAACAUAAUAAAAGAGAGAAUAUAAUGAUUAGUUGCAAACAAACAAAAUAGGUGAAAUAUGCAAUUACAAGUUUUUUAGACUAGUGAGUGUCCGAAAAAAUGAAGGUAGUGUUCCAUUGAUGUUGCAACUUCUUAGAAUCCUGUGAAACAAUGAGAUAAAUAACAAAGUAUUAUGAUGAGUACAUCUUUUGCUACAUUUUUUUUUCUUUCUAUUUAUGUAAUAGUAAGUGCAAUCAACUCACAAAUAUUUCAGGUUCAUAUCAUUAAGUUGUGGAAAAGGUGAAUGUUCAGAGCCAUUUAAAUCACUGAUUCUCCUGCAUAUUACAUCAAAUUCACAACUAAGUAAAAACAAUUAAAAUGGAAGUUAAUUUUGGAACAUUAUUUACUACAUAAAAAAUAUCAUACAUACAAGUCAGUUAAAUUUUUUAAAUUUGAAAUUCCAGAAGGAAUUGGCCCACUUAAUCCACUCCCUUCAAUCACUCUGUAAAAGUAAAUUCAAUCAAUAAUUAGAAGAUAAAAACAAGACAUAAAUGAAAUCCAAGCAAUAGAAAAAAAAUUGAAGUUGAUGAAAUAAAAAAUAAUAGAAAAGGGAGAGAUUAUACAAUUUUUGUAGACUUGUCCAGCUUUGAAUAAAAUCAGGUAUCUUCCCAGUGAAUUGAUUGUCAGAAAUUCGACUAUAUAUAAUAAAAAUGUAUAAAACAAGGAAAAGUUACAAUAUCUCCAAAAAACAAUAUUCUAUAAUUUAAUCAUUACUCAAUAGUUUAUAAAGAUAUGAAACUUACAUAUCCUGCAAUGUGGUAAGUUUGACCAUUGUAGCAGGUAGUUGUCCAGUGAAAUUGUUGGAAGAAAGUAACCUAAAUAUAAUUAACAAUAAAUUGUGAAUCUAAGCUAUUGACAUUAAGAGUUUAAUUUUUACAACUUUCAAUUUAAAAAUAUUUAUACAGUCAACAAAUUACAAUUAAUCAUUUGUAAUGUGAAAUUUCAGAGGUAGUUAUAAUUAAACUUAAAAUAUUUAUAAUGAUAUAAAAUUAUAAUUAAUAUAAAUAAAUAUUAAUUUACACAUGUAUACCAAUUAAAUCAAUUAACACAAACUACUAGAAAAAAAACAGUUACCAAAAAUGGUAAAUAAAAUAAGGUACUUACAGUCUUUGAAUCUGAGUUAGAUUCCCAAGCUCAAGAGGAAGAUUGCCAGAUAAUUGAUUGGCCUCCAAUACCCUAUGAAUUUCAUGUUAAUGCAUGCUAUGUUGUACAAAUAAUCUUUGAAAUACUUACAUAGUUUUGUUACAAACAUAAAUGAAAAAAAAUAAAAUUAUUUACUAAGGUGGAUAGUGAGAAACUCACAAACUUUGGAGAGUGGAUAUGUUUGUUAUUUCUAUUGGUAUUGAACCAGUUAAUCGAUUUCCAAGGAGGGAGCUUCAAUGAUUAAAAGAAACAAUUAAUUAUAAAAUCUUAGAAAGAAUAUAAAAUAAGAACCACAUUUAGGAUAUAAUAUAAAGAUAUUAUUAUUAGAAAUAAAAUGAAAUAAGAGAACUCAUACAUGUUAACUAGAUUCAUGGAGCCCCAUUCUUUAGGAAUUGUACCAUUCAAGUAAUUGCGGGUAAAGUCACUGUAAUAGGAAGAGAGUAAUAUACAUUAAUAAUAUUAUUAACAUAUCAUACAUACAAGUAAAUGAAUAAAUGAAUAAAUGAAAUAAGUAUAUUACAUACAUUUCUUGAAGAUGAGGCAACCUGAUCAAUUCUGGUGGAAGAGUGCCCGGGAGAUUUUGUUGUUUCAAGAGUCUACAUAAUCAUUAAACAAUAAAAUAAAAUUCUAAGCCAAAUCAAGUAUUUAACUCUAAUAUUUUUUUAGCAAAUAUAAAGAAUUCAAAUAUUUUUUUUUUAAAAUGUUGUAGGCUGUAAAUUGACAAGUCUACCCUUGCAACUAACUAUCAUAACAGGUUGUAACAUAAAUUAUACUUCUUAUGUUCUAAAAUAAUUGAAUUAUUUGAUUUUUUUACACAUAUUAAAAUAAUAUAUAAAAAAAUAAAGAGAAUAUUAAUUUUACUAAAUUAACCUUAUGAAUUAUCAGUGUAUUAUCAUUAUCAUAAAUGUAUAGUUAAAGAUAAUACAUUAACAAUGAUGAAAAUAAUAUUAGUAUUGAUUCGAUGUGUGUCAUAAAUAUCAUUAUGUAAUAAUUAUUGUAUGAUCAUUAAUUAAUAAAUAAAUUUACAUAAAUACAUACAACAUAAAAGGCACAAUUACAAAUUUAAUCAAUAGUUGAAACAAACAAAAUCUGUCAUAUAUUACAAGUUACUCACUAUUAUCAAAGGAAAACGUAUUAAACUCACUCCUAAUAACAAAAAAUAAAAAUUUAUAGUGGCAUUAUUAUCUUGUUUAUAAGGAACUCAAAAAAAAAAAAAAAAGAAUUUUACAAGAUAACUAAUAAAAACAGAAUUUAUCUUGAUAGUCUUUAACUUCUCUUCUCCAAGUAAGAAGAAUCUAGGUGUACAGGAUAAAGAUCAUUUGCUGAAGUAGAUGAAGCAGUCCAUGGCCCUUCCAUUUGAAUGCUAUGUUCUUGGUAAUAUUGUCUCAUUGCUUCCAUUUUCUUCUCAUCCGAUACCUCACUUGACUCUGUAAACACUUCCUGAAUAUCUAUUGUACCUUCAAGCAUGCUUACCACUGAAGACAUGGCAGGCCUAAGAUUUGAAGUCACAUUAGUGCAUAAGAGGGCCACAUUUAUCAUCACCAUUGCUUCCUCUUUGUUGAAAUUUGUACCCAAUCUUUUAUCAACUAGCUCUAUUAGAUCACCUUUCUCUUUCAAGAGAUGUGCCUAGUAAAUAAAACCGAAAGAUAAGUAAAAUCUGACUAAAACGUAAAUUCACAGUAUUAAUAAUUUAACACUCUUUAGACAAAUGAUAAAUUUGUAUAGCUAAAAAUGGAAGACUAAAAGGACUCCUAAAGAUGGCUUGAACAUAAGACCAAAGUACUUACCCAAUCAAGAAGAUGGAAUGCUUCUUCUUUUUGUCGAAUAGUAGUAUUGUUCUUUCCAUGUAUGAUUUCUAAGGCCACAAUUCCAAAACUAUAGACAUCUGCUUUGUCAGUCAAGUAACCAUGCAUUGCAUAUUCUGGAGCCAUGUACCCACUACAUAAUAAAAAAAAGUUUAUCAGCUACAUUAAGUUUAGAAACUAACACAAUCCAUGUUUUAAUGCACCAAUAAUAGCUAAAUUGUAUUAUACCUAGAUAUAGUUUUGUUUCUUUUUAAUUAAUUGAAUCACAUCAUUCAUAAAAAAAAAUCAUUUUUUUUAAAUAAAUUCUCUAAAAUAAAUUAAAAUUUAAGAACUUACUAUGUUCCGGCUAUUCGAGUGCUAAUGUGAGUGUUCUCUUCUUCGUCAAGUUUAGCCAAACCAAAAUCGGAUAUUUUUGGAUUAAGAUCUUUAUCAAGCAACACAUUAGUGGCUUUAAUGUCCCUAUGAACAACCUUCAACCUUGAUUCUUCAUGGAGAUACGCUAAACCUCUAGCAAUACCAACACAAAUCUUGUAUCUUGUUGACCAAUUCAAUUUUAUUUGGUGCUCUUGAGGCCCUUUAUUUGUGAAGAAGAUAGAAAUAAAAAUAUGUUACCACAUAUAUAGUCAUAGACAUAUAUUAAAAGAAAUUAACUUUGAUGUAUUGUCGAUGUAAAACUUUUUAUAUUAUCAACCAAUUAUAAAUUAUCUUUUAGAUAUAAUUAAAGUCAAAUAUUUUUAAUAAUUCAACUGUAAGAAUUGAUUGAUAAUGUAAAAAAAACUUUACAUAAUUAACUAUAUAGGAAGAAUUACCGAAUAAAGCACGAGCAAGACUAUUAUUUUCCAGAUAUUCAUAUAUUAGAAUUAACUGAUCUCCCUCUACACAACAUCCAUAGAGUUUAACAAGAUGAGGGUGCUGCAAAGCCGAAAUCAUGCCGAUUUCAUUUAAAAAUUCCCGAUUCCCUUGCUUUGAUUUAGCAGAAAGUUGCUUCACUGCUAUCAAUGUUCCAUCUGAUAAACGUCCCUGCAUUUUGAAGAAUGCUAUAUAUAGUUAUUAAAAGUUGAAAAUGAUUUUUCAUUAAACAAUACUUAAAAUUGUAAUAAAUAUGUGACAACCAAGAUAUAAUUUGUUAUAUUAAGGAGUGCUAACAACACACUCUCUAACACAUUUUUCUAUUGGUUUAAAUUUACAUGGGUACCACCAAAUUGUUUGAGUUCCAUUUAAGUUUGUUGGGACUAAUGUGAAUUUUAACCAAUAAAAGAGAGUAUGUUGCUAGCAUUACUCAUAAAACAAUAAUAGUACCUUGUAUACUGGACCAAAUCCUCCUUCUCCAAUCUUAUUGGCAACAUCAAAGUUAUUUGUUGCUCCUUUGAUUUGUCUUAGGUUAAAUAAAUUCAUUUGUAGGUCUAAACGCUUUACCUCUGUUAAUUGAUACAAAAUAAAUAUCAGAUAUAUCUUAUACUAGAAAAAACUUCCACAUUAUACACCUACAAGAACAUAACACAUUAACUAAAGAGAUUAAAAGUUAUUCUAUACUAACAAUCAAUCACAACUCUUCCAUUUGCCACGUCAUAACAUACAUUUUUUUAAAUAAAAAAUUUAAAAAGGUGGGUAUGCAGUUGUUUGAUGUAUUAGCAAGUUGUAAAAUACUAAUUUUGGCGUAGUAAAUAACUUUUCACUGAGAUGACAUAUCCUAUAAGCUCUUAACAUAAACAAUUACAUAAAUUUAUUCUAAGCACAUGAAAAAUCCAAACUUAAUUCUUUCUGAUUACCUGAUUCUAAAGAGUUUUUUUUUCCUAAGCAGCCUUUCCACCUAAGUAUACCAAACAAUAAGAUGAUAACAAUUGCUACUGCAGCUACUAUUCCAACCACAACUCCUGCAGAUAUGCUGCUUCCAUUUUCAGAAGGAGGUGGAAAAUCUGCAAGAUUAUUAUUACACCAAAACUUUCACAUAUCAGAUCAAAACAUAAUUCAUGCAUAAACCUCGCCCGUGCGUUGCACUGGUCCAAAAUACUAGGUAUAAAAUUACACAGUUACAACCGACCUGAUUUGACUGAUAUAGCUGAUAUAAGAGGACCAUAUACCGAUCUAAAUGGUAUACUAGUUGUCCCUUUUCCUGCCCAAUAUAAGCGAAUCUCCAAGGUGCUAUUUGUCACAAUGGCAGGGAAUGACAUUGUGACUGCCUUAUCAACUCCUCCUGCUUCUUUUGCAAUAUUGAAGUCCUUAUGUACUAGUGUUCCC
This 8109-nucleotide long non-coding RNA is filed under the name Cicer arietinum (chickpea). RNAcentral describes it as "long non-coding RNA (CARI_LNC000571)". The record is from RNAcentral. Lineage: Eukaryota; Viridiplantae; Streptophyta; Magnoliopsida; Fabales; Fabaceae.